AGGAUGAACGCUGGCGGCGUGCCUAAAACAUGCAAGUCAUACGGUCUACCUUCGGGUAGACAGUGGCAAACGGGUGAGUAACACGUGGGAACACGCCUUCGAGUGGGGAAUAACGCUGAGAAAUCAGUGCUAAUACCGCAUAUGGUCUAACGACUAAAGCAGUAAUGCGCUCGGAGAGUGGCCCGCGUCCGAUUAGCUAGUUGGUGGGGUAAUGGCCUACCAAGGCGGUGAUCGGUAGCUGGUCUGAGAGGAUGGUCAGCCACACUGGGACUGCGAACGGCCCAGACUCCUACGGGAGGCAGCAGUUAGGAAUUUUCGGCAAUGGACGAAAGUCUGACCGAGCGACGCCGCGUGGAGGACGAAGCCUUUCGGGGUGUAAACUCCUUUUCUGCGGGAAGAUAAUGACGGUACCGCAGGAAUAAGCACCGGCUAACGUACGCGCCAGCAGCCCGC
This 453-nucleotide ribosomal RNA is filed under the name uncultured bacterium. RNAcentral's name for it is "SSU rRNA". It matches the Rfam family "Bacterial small subunit ribosomal RNA", at positions 26 to 518 of the family's 1533-position model. The record is from RNAcentral.